RNAcentral lists this ribosomal RNA (429 nucleotides) under bacterium. RNAcentral's name for it is "partial 16S ribosomal RNA". It matches the Rfam family "Bacterial small subunit ribosomal RNA", at positions 355 to 776 of the family's 1533-position model. The record is from RNAcentral.
UGGGGAAUUUUGGACAAUGGGGGCAACCCUGAUCCAGCAAUGCCGCGUGUGUGAAGAAGGCCUUCGGGUUGUAAAGCACUUUUGUCCGGGAAGAAAUCGCACCUGAUAAUACCGGGUGUGGAUGACGGUACCGGAAGAAUAAGGACCGGCUAACUACGUGCCAGCAGCCGCGGUAAUAAGUAGGGUCCAAGCGUUAAUCGGAAUUACUGGGCGUAAAGCGUGCGCAGGCGGUUGUGCAAGACCGAUGUGAAAUCCCCGGGCUUAACCUGGGAAUUGCAUUGGUGACUGCACGGCUAGAGUGUGUCAGAGGGGGGUAGAAUUCCACGUGUAGCAGUGAAAUGCGUAGAGAUGUGGCGGAAUACCCAUGGCGAAGGCAGCCCCCUGGGAUAACACUGACGCUCAUGCACGAAAGCGUGGGGAGCAAACAGG